CCUACGGGGGGCAGCAGUGGGGAAUAUUGCACAAUGGGGGAAACCCUGAUGCAGCGACGCCGCGUGAGUGAAGAAGUAUUUCGGUAUGUACAGCUCUGUCAGCAGGGAAGAAAAUGACGGUACCUGACCAAGAAGCCCCGGCUAACUACGUGCCAGCAGCCGCGGUAAUACGUAGGGGGCAAGCGUUAUCCGGAUUUACUGGGUGUAAAGGGAGCGUAGACGGCAGGGCAAGUCUGGAGUGAAAGGCGGGGGCGCAACCCCCGGACUGCUCUGGAAACUGCCAGGCUAGAGUGCAGGAGAGGUAAGUGGAAUGCCUAGUGUAGCGGUGAAAUGCGUAGAUAUUAGGAGGAACACCAGUGGCGAAGGCGGCUUACUGGACUGUAACUGACGUUGAGGCUCGAAAGCGUGGGGAGCAAACAGGAUUAGAUACCCUUGUAGUC
Molecule: ribosomal RNA, 440 nt
Filed under: uncultured bacterium
Lineage: Bacteria
Description: partial 16S ribosomal RNA
Rfam family: Bacterial small subunit ribosomal RNA
Source: RNAcentral